This 485-nucleotide ribosomal RNA is filed under the name uncultured bacterium. Its description in RNAcentral is "partial 16S ribosomal RNA". It matches the Rfam family "Bacterial small subunit ribosomal RNA", at positions 28 to 506 of the family's 1533-position model. The record is from RNAcentral.
GAUGAACGCUAGCGGCAGGCCUAAUACAUGCAAGUCGGACGGGAUCCAUUGAUAGCUUGCUAUCAAUGGUGAGAGUGGCGCACGGGUGCGUAACGCGUGAGCAACCUGCCUCCAUCAGGGGGAUAGCCUCUCGAAAGAGAGAUUAACACCGCAUAAUAUCAACAGUUCGCAUGUUCAGUUGAUUAAAUAUUUAUAGGAUGGAGAUGGGCUCGCGUGACAUUAGCUAGUUGGUAGGGUAACGGCUUACCAAGGCGACGAUGUCUAGGGGCUCUGAGGAGAAUCCCCCACACUGGUACUGAGACACGGACCAGACUCCUACGGGAGGCAGCAGUAAGGAAUAUUGGUCAAUGGGCGGAAGCCUGAACCAGCCAGGCCGCGUGCAGGAUGACUGCCCUAUGGGUUGUAAACUGCUUUUGUCCAGGAAUAAACCUAAAUACGAGUAUUUAGCUGAAUGUACUGGAAGAAUAAGGAUCGGCUAACUCCGU